AAAGCUCAUUUAAGCCAGAAGUGGAAUCACGCCAGUGAAGAACCGUCAUUUCACACACAAUAGCACAAUGCACAUGAGUGUGUUAAAUAAACAACUCAGCCAUGACUGUUCUGCGUUUUUCCUCUGAAGGACAUCCAGUGGCCCCAACUCGUGUGGUUUCUGUUUCGGUCAUUCAUCAGAAGAAUGCGAUGACAAGUACCAAAAACUCCUGCAGCUUCUCCAAGAAGAUUCAAGGAGAGAAGAUAAGAUGCAAUUUCAGUUACAGAGACUUGAACUUGAAGACCCCGAGCUAAAACUUAAAACAGAACAUCAAGCAGAAGAGAUAGAAGAGCUUCAGCAGACCUUGGUUGGCACAAGUUUGGU
Long non-coding RNA from Meriones unguiculatus (Mongolian gerbil), 363 nucleotides. RefSeq lists it as uncharacterized. The record is from RefSeq and is a predicted model, not a curated record. The transcript has 3 exons. Lineage: Eukaryota; Metazoa; Chordata; Mammalia; Rodentia; Muridae.